Molecule: ribosomal RNA, 1050 nt
Filed under: Pseudomonas sp.
Lineage: Bacteria; Pseudomonadati; Pseudomonadota; Gammaproteobacteria; Pseudomonadales; Pseudomonadaceae
Description: bacterial SSU rRNA
Rfam family: Bacterial small subunit ribosomal RNA
Source: RNAcentral
UGCAGGCGGCAGCUACACAUGCAAGUCGAGCGGUAGAGAGAAGCUUGCUUCUCUUGAGAGCGGCGGACGGGUGAGUAAUACCUGGGAAUCUGCCUGAUAGUGGGGGAUAACGUUCGGAAACGGACGCUAAUACCGCAUACGUCCUACGGGAGAAAGCAGGGGAUCUUCGGACCUUGCGCUAUCAGAUGAGCCCAGGUCGGAUUAGCUUGUUGGUGAGGUAACGGCUCACCAAGGCUGCGAUCCGUAACUGGUCUGAGAGGAUGAUCAGUCACACUGGAACUGAGACACGGUCCAGACUCCUACGGGAGGCAGCAGUGGGGAAUAUUGGACAAUGGGGGAAACCCUGAUCCAGCCAUGCCGCGUGUGUGAAGAAGGUCUUCGGAUUGUAAAGCACUUUAAGUUGGGAGGAAGGGCUGAUGCUUAAUACGUAUCAGUCUUGACGUUACCGACAGAAUAAGCACCGGCUAACUCUGUGCCAGCAGCCGCGGUAAUACAGAGGGUGCAAGCGUUAAUCGGAAUUACUGGGCGUAAAGCGCGCGUAGGUGGCUAAGUAAGAUGGGUGUGAAAUCCCCGGGCUCAACCUGGGAACUGCAUCCAUAACUGCUUGGCUAGAGUACGGUAGAGGGUAGUGGAAUUUCCUGUGUAGCGGUGAAAUGCGUAGAUAUAGGAAGGAACACCAGUGGCGAAGGCGACUACCUGGACUGAUACUGACACUGAGGUGCGAAAGCGUGGGGAGCAAACAGGAUUAGAUACCCUGGUAGUCCACGCCGUAAACGAUGUCAACUAGCCGUUGGGAACCUUGAGUUCUUAGUGGCGCAGCUAACGCACUAAGUUGACCGCCUGGGGAGUACGGUCGCAAGAUUAAAACUCAAAUGAAUUGACGGGGGCCCGCACAAGCGGUGGAGCAUGUGGUUUAUUCGAAGCAACGCGAAGAACCUUACCUGGCCUUGACAUGCUGAGAACUUUCCAGAGAUGGAUUGGUGCCUUCGGGAACUCAGACACAGGUGCUGCAUGGCUGUCGUCAGCUCGUGUCGUGAGAUGUGGGGUUAA